UUUUUGUAGAACGGGCCAACGAGUUACGUUAAGUAGCAAGGUUAAGCACUUAAGGUGCGGAGCCGUAGCGAAAGCGAGUUUUAACUGAGCGUUCAGUUACUUGACGUAGACCCGAAACCGGGCGACCUACCCAUGAGCAGGAUGAAGCGAAAGUAAAAUUUCGUGGAGGUCCGAACCCACGAGCGUUGAAAAGCUCGGGGAUGACUUGUGGGUAGCGGUGAAAUUCCAAUCGAGCCCGGAGAUAGCUGGUUCUCCCCGAAAUAGCUUUAGGGCUAGCCUCAAGGUGAGAGAUACGGAGGUAGAGCACUGAAUGUCCUAGGGGGUAUUGCACCUACCGAAGACUAUCAAACUCCGAAUGCCGUCAUCUUAUACUUGGGAGUCAGACUGUGGGUGAUAAGAUUCAUAGUCGAAAGGGCAACAGCCCAGAUCGUCAGCUAAGGUCCCUAAAUGUAAGUUAAGUGGUAAAGGAUGUGGGAUUGCACAGACAACCAGGAUGUUGGCUUAGAAGCAGCCACUCAUUCAAAGAGUGCGUAAUAGCUCACUGGUCGAGUGAUCCUGCGCCGAAGAUUUCCGGGGCUAAAACUUACUACCGAAGCUACGGCAUCAGUAAUGAUGGGUAGGGGAGCUUCCCAUACGGGUUGAAGCAUGACCGUAAGGACAUGUGGACAGUAUGGGAGUGAGAAUGUUGGCAUGAGUAGCGAGAUGUGGGUGAGAAUCCCACAGGCCGUAAACCCAAGGUUUCCAGGGGAAGGUUCGUCCGCCCUGGGUUAGUCGGGACCUAAGCUGAGGCCGAAAGGCGUAGGUGAUGGACAACAGGUUGAU
This 822-nucleotide ribosomal RNA is filed under the name Clostridioides difficile. RNAcentral's name for it is "partial 23S ribosomal RNA". It matches the Rfam family "Bacterial large subunit ribosomal RNA", at positions 605 to 1434 of the family's 2925-position model. Lineage: Bacteria; Bacillati; Bacillota; Clostridia; Peptostreptococcales; Peptostreptococcaceae. The record is from RNAcentral.